UACGUAGGGUGCGAGCGUUAAUCGGAAUUACUGGGCGUAAAGCGUGCGCAGGCGGUUCGUCGUGUCCGGUGUGAAAGCCCCGGGCUCAACCUGGGAAUGGCAUUGGAGACUGGCGGGCUGGAGUGUGGCAGAGGGGGGUGGAAUUCCGCGUGUAGCAGUGAAAUGCGUAGAUAUCGGGAGGAACAUCUGUGGCGAAGGCGACACCCUGGACCAGCACUGACACUGAGGCACGAAAGCGUGGGGAGCAAACAGG
RNAcentral lists this ribosomal RNA (253 nucleotides) under uncultured bacterium. Its description in RNAcentral is "partial 16S ribosomal RNA". It matches the Rfam family "Bacterial small subunit ribosomal RNA", at positions 524 to 776 of the family's 1533-position model. The record is from RNAcentral.